UACGUAGGGUGCAAGCGUUGUCCGGAAUUAUUGGGCGUAAAGAGCUCGUAGGCGGCUUGUCGCGUCGGCUGUGAAAACCCGGGGCUCAACCCCGGGCCUGCAGCCGAUACGAGCAGACUAGAGUUCGGCAGGGGAGACUGGAAUUCCUGGUGUAGCGGUGAAAUGCGCAGAUAUCAGGAGGAACACCGGUGGCGAAGGCGGGUCUCUGGGCCGAAACUGACGCUGAGGAGCGAAAGCGUGGGGAGCGAACAGG
Molecule: ribosomal RNA, 253 nt
Filed under: uncultured bacterium
Lineage: Bacteria
Description: partial 16S ribosomal RNA
Rfam family: Bacterial small subunit ribosomal RNA
Source: RNAcentral